This 485-nucleotide ribosomal RNA is filed under the name uncultured bacterium. RNAcentral describes it as "partial 16S ribosomal RNA". It matches the Rfam family "Bacterial small subunit ribosomal RNA", at positions 30 to 506 of the family's 1533-position model. The record is from RNAcentral.
AUUGAACGCUGGCGACAUGCCUUACACAUGCAAGUCGAACGGCAGCACGGGUGCUUGCACCUGGUGGCGAGUGGCGAACGGGUGAGUAAUACAUCGGAACAUGUCCUGUAGUGGGGGAUAGCCCGGCGAAAGCCGGAUUAAUACCGCAUACGAUCUACGGAUGAAAGCGGGGGACCUUCGGGCCUCGCGCUAUAGGGUUGGCCGAUGGCUGAUUAGCUAGUUGGUGGGGUAAAGGCCUACCAAGGCGACGAUCAGUAGCUGGUCUGAGAGGACGACCAGUCACACUGGGACUGAGACACGGCCCAGACUCCUACGGGAGGCAGCAGUGGGGAAUUUUGGACAAUGGGCGAAAGCCUGAUCCAGCAAUGCCGCGUGUGUGAAGAAGGCCUUCGGGUUGUAAAGCACUUUUGUCCGGAAAGAAAUCCUUGGCCCUAAUACGGUCGGGGGAUGACGGUACCGGAAGAAUAAGCACCGGCUAACUACGU